This 254-nucleotide ribosomal RNA is filed under the name uncultured bacterium. RNAcentral's name for it is "partial 16S ribosomal RNA". It matches the Rfam family "Bacterial small subunit ribosomal RNA", at positions 524 to 776 of the family's 1533-position model. The record is from RNAcentral.
UACGUAGGAGGCAAGCGUUGUCCGGAAUUACUGGGCGUAAAGCGCGUGUAGGUGGUGGGACAAGUCUGCUGUGAAAGCGCCUGGCUUAACCGGGCGAGGUCGGCGGAAACUGUCCGACUCGAGGACGGUAGAGGGGGGUGGAAUUCCCGGUGUAGUGGUGAAAUGCGUAGAGAUCGGGAGGAACACCUGUGGCGAAGGCGGCCCCCUGGGCCGGCCCUGACGACUGAGACGCGAAGGCGUGGGGAGCGAACGGG